UACGGAGGGGACUAGCGUUGUUCGGAAUUACUGGGCGUAAAGCGCACGUAGGCGGCUUUGUAAGUUAGGGGUGAAAUCCCGGGGCUCAACCUCGGAACUGCCUUUGAUACUGCAAAUCUCGAGUCCGGAAGAGGUGAGUGGAACUGCGAGUGUAGAGGUGAAAUUCGUAGAUAUUCGCAAGAACACCAGUGGCGAAGGCGGCUCACUGGCCCGGUACUGACGCUGAGGUGCGAAAGCGUGGGGAGCAAACAGG
RNAcentral lists this ribosomal RNA (253 nucleotides) under uncultured bacterium. Its description in RNAcentral is "partial 16S ribosomal RNA". It matches the Rfam family "Bacterial small subunit ribosomal RNA", at positions 524 to 776 of the family's 1533-position model. The record is from RNAcentral.